UAUAUAUAUAUAUAUAUAUAUAUAUAUAUAUAUAUAUAUAUAUAUAUAGUGUCACGGGUCUGUUCUGUGUCUCCCUGGGUGGCCACUAGAGGUCUCACUUCCCCUGAUUGUCACCCCCUUCUGAACUACAUUUCCCACUAGCCUUAUCUGUUCAUCACUGUUCAUUGUGUUCAGCUGUCACCACUUACCUUGUUUGCACCUGUCUUUAAAUACCCUGGUUGUUUCUGUCAUUGUUACGGAGUCCUUGUUGCCUGUCACCCUGCUUUUUCCUGGUUCCCUAGUGGAUGUUCGUGUUUCGUGUUUUGGACUGUUUAAUGUCACCCUGGUUUCGUGUUUCCUUGCUUUGUUUGUGUUUCUUGUUUUGGACGGAUUACCUGGAUGUUGACCUUUGCCUGGAUGUUUUCUGAUUUUGGAUUGCCUCAAUAAAACACUGCACUUGGAUCUACCUGUCUGUGUGCGUUUCGUGACAUAUAUAUACCGUGUGUACACAUUUUAUUAUUCUUUUUUUUUUUUUUAAGCAAUCCAAAUUUAUUGAGUUUAAAUAGGAAGCCAUGCAAUGAUCCUUGUUGACCAAUGUGUUUGUAUUUGUGCAGGAUGAUCUCGGAAUUUCAUAAGACUCAAUCUGCAUUAAUAAAUCUGUCUUUUUAGGUGUGUUGUAUUGGCCCUCAGUAUCACUUUAGGUGAAUCUUACAAUGAAUAAAUGUUAAUGUCUUACUAACGUUUAUCCUCCAUAGACUUUAAGAUGUCACUGCCUGUGAAGGAUUGAAUAUAAUUAACACAUUAUUAUUAUUAUUAUUAUUAUUAUUAUUAUUAUUAUUAUUAUUAUUAUCUCUACUCCUGAAGAGUCCAACAGUUCAGAGUGCGGCAGACUCUAAAGGCUGUUGAUCCGUUUGGAAAUUUUCUUCGCGGACUUCAGCUUAAUGUUGUUCCAAGGGUUCCAUACGCUGUUCCAGGUCCUCUCUCCCUGUGGCACAUAGAUGGUAACCAUAAACUGAUACGCUGGAGAAUUGUUAUAUAGAGGCUGUGUUUGGAUUUUCUGUCGAGAUUUUAAUAAACGUUGAUAUGGUUGGUCAGUACUGCUCGAUCAAGAACUGCCACAGCAGGUCACACGAUCGUUCAGGGAGGAAACUGAACAACGGAAUACGUUUUUUUCAGCUUUCCUUCCUGGAAAAAACAACAAGGGAAGCAGGUGCAGGAGCUGACAAAAAGACGCCGAAUCAAGUGGGUUGCCGCAAUCAGGAGAGAAAAAUUUUACUUUUCAAAACAUUCCUGCAUCAGCGAGAGUGUGUUCGCUGCAUUUUCAGUCUUGUUUUUAUGCUAACACUGUCAAACAAACUUGUAAAUGUAAAUUAUGUAUUUCAAUGAAAAAAAAAUGUAAACGUAAAUUAUUGAUUGUAAAUUAUGUAUUCAUUAAUUUCUAAUCAACAUAACCACAUGAAUUACAAAAAUAAAUCUGCCCACCACAAGCAAAAUAAAACUGGG
Long non-coding RNA from Cyprinus carpio carpio, 1482 nucleotides. The record is from Ensembl. Lineage: Eukaryota; Metazoa; Chordata; Actinopteri; Cypriniformes; Cyprinidae.